Molecule: long non-coding RNA, 531 nt
Organism: Macadamia integrifolia
Lineage: Eukaryota; Viridiplantae; Streptophyta; Magnoliopsida; Proteales; Proteaceae
Exons: 2
Source: RefSeq, a predicted model, not a curated record
AUCUUUCCCUUCCCGAUAAAAAUCUUUCACCUCUCUCUCAACACUUCUUCACCCUAGUUUUGCGCAGAGGGGAGAGGAGCCACUACGCCGUCGCCGCCGCCCUGCAUCUCAUCUUUUCCUUCUACCCUCUUCUCUGUUCUUCAACCUCAUCGCCCUUUUUUUUUUUCAAAGCAGAAAAAUCUGAUUUGUCGCAGAGAGGAGAGACACCGCUGCCGCCCCUGGCUCUCUUCACAACAUAAAAACCUGAUUUGUCGCAAAGAGGAGAGACGUCGCUGCCGCCGUGUUCUUCGUCGUUCAUCGGCUUUCUAUUCAUCAGCUUCAGGUAUGUAGUAUGAUUCAGAUUUGGAACUUAAAACACCAUUUGUUGAUACGGUUAGGGUUUUCGAUCGGUUUCCUGUUGCUUGUUGGAAUCCAUGAGCUUGAAGUUGCAGAAAUUUCGAUUAAAGAUUGUGAGGUCUUUUGUUAUUUGUUUCUGUGAAUUAAUGAUUUAUUUGCAAUCCAGAUUUUAAUUCUUUCUUGAUGAGAGUUUAA